RNAcentral lists this ribosomal RNA (1443 nucleotides) under metagenome. RNAcentral describes it as "bacterial SSU rRNA". It matches the Rfam family "Bacterial small subunit ribosomal RNA". The record is from RNAcentral.
AGAGUUUGAUCCUGGCUCAGGAUGAACGCUGGCGGCGUGCUUAACACAUGCAAGUCGAACGAGCCUUCGGGCGAGUGGCGGACGGGUGAGUAACGCGUGGGAAUCUGCCCUUAGGAGGGGGAUAACGGCCGGAAACGGCCGCUAAUACCCCAUAUGCCGAGAGGUGAAAUGAAUUUCGCCUGAGGAUGAGCCCGCGUCUGAUUAGCUAGUUGGUGGGGUAAUGGCCCACCAAGGCGACGAUCAGUAGCUGGUCUGAGAGGAUGAUCAGCCACACUGGGACUGAGACACGGCCCAGACUCCUACGGGAGGCAGCAGUGGGGAAUUUUCCGCAAUGGGCGAAAGCCUGACGGAGCAACGCCGCGUGAGGGAUGAAGGCCUCUGGGCUGUAAACCUCUUUUCUCAAGGAAGAAGACAUGACGGUACUUGAGGAAUAAGCCACGGCUAAUUCCGUGCCAGCAGCCGCGGUAAUACGGGAGUGGCAAGCGUUAUCCGGAAUUAUUGGGCGUAAAGCGUCCGCAGGCGGCCUUGUAAGUCUGUCGUUAAAGCGUGGAGCUUAACUCCAUUUCAGCGAUGGAAACUACAAGGCUUGAGUGUGGUAGGGGCAGAGGGAAUUCCCGGUGUAGCGGUGAAAUGCGUAGAUAUCGGGAAGAACACCAGUGGCGAAGGCGCUCUGCUGGGCCAUAACUGACGCUCAUGGACGAAAGCCAGGGGAGCGAAAGGGAUUAGAUACCCCUGUAGUCCUGGCCGUAAACGAUGAACACUAGGUGUCGGGGGAAUCGACCCCCUCGGUGUCGUAGCUAACGCGUUAAGUGUUCCGCCUGGGGAGUACGCACGCAAGUGUGAAACUCAAAGGAAUUGACGGGGGCCCGCACAAGCGGUGGAGUAUGUGGUUUAAUUCGAUGCAACGCGAAGAACCUUACCAGGGUUUGACAUCCUGCGAAUCCCUUGGAAACGAGGGAGUGCCUUCGGGAGCGCAGAGACAGGUGGUGCAUGGCUGUCGUCAGCUCGUGUCGUGAGAUGUUGGGUUAAGUCCCGCAACGAGCGCAACCCACGUCUUUAGUUGCCAGCAUUCAGUUGGGCACUCUAGAGAGACCGCCGGUGAUAAACCGGAGGAAGGUGUGGAUGACGUCAAGUCAUCAUGCCCCUUACAUCCUGGGCUACACACGUACUACAAUGCUACGGACAAAGGGUUGCAAGCUCGCGAGAGUUAGCUAAUCCCAUAAACCGUGGCUCAGUUCAGAUCGUAGGCUGCAACUCGCCUACGUGAAGGAGGAAUCGCUAGUAAUCGCAGGUCAGCAUACUGCGGUGAAUACGUUCCCGGGCCUUGUACACACCGCCCGUCACACCAUGGAAGUUGGCCAUGCCCGAAGUCGUUACUCCAACCCUUGUGGAGGAGGACGCCGAAGGUGGGGCUGAUGACUGGGGUGAAGUCGUAACAAGGUA